RNAcentral lists this ribosomal RNA (142 nucleotides) under uncultured Alphaproteobacteria bacterium. RNAcentral describes it as "partial 16S ribosomal RNA". It matches the Rfam family "Bacterial small subunit ribosomal RNA", at positions 537 to 678 of the family's 1533-position model. Lineage: Bacteria; Pseudomonadati; Pseudomonadota; Alphaproteobacteria. The record is from RNAcentral.
AGCGUUGCUCGGAAUUACUGGGCGUAAAGCGCACGUAGGCGGAUACUUAAGUUAGGGGUGAAAUCCCGGGGCUCAACCCCGGAACUGCCUUUAAUACUGGGUAUCUAGAGUCCGAGAGAGGUGAGUGGAAUUCCGAGUGUAG